Rhinichthys klamathensis goyatoka is the source of this 729-nucleotide long non-coding RNA. RefSeq lists it as uncharacterized. NCBI's taxonomy places the organism in Eukaryota, Metazoa, Chordata, Actinopteri, Cypriniformes, Leuciscidae. The transcript has 4 exons. The record is from RefSeq and is a predicted model, not a curated record.
ACGGCUCUUCUUCAUUUCUCAGCUCCAGUGAAAACAACACGUGUCCAGAUCUCAACAACCAGCAUUAGUCCAUAUACAAACAGCAGCACUGAACACACCAGCACAGCGUCGCCUUCAGAUCUGGCUUCUGUUGCUGGCGGUCUGGGUUCGGUUCUGCUGGUUCUGACUCUGUGUUCUGGAACCUUCAUCAUCCUGAAGAAGAGGAAGAGGAAAUCUGGGACAGCUUAAUUUCAGCAAAACAUGCAGCGCAAUACAGAGACUGACCACAUAUAUGAAGAGAUUCCAAACACAGAUGUUGCCAUGGUAACAUCUUCAUCCAAUCCGACGCCUGCAUCUUCAUCCAAUCAGACGCCUGCAUCUUCAUCCAAUCAGACGCCCGCAUCUUCAUCCAAUCAGACGCCUGCAUCUCCAUCCAAUCAGACGCCUGCAUCUUCAUCCAAUCAGACGCCUGCAUCACAUCUCAACACCUGCCCAAAAGUCUCUACUGUUUACACCACAGUAUCCAAUCAGCAGCCUGAUUCCAAGCCCAGUCACACCCACUCGACCAAUCAGGUGACAGAGACAGCCGGUGAUUAUUAUGCCAAAAUAAAGUGUCCUGAAGCAACACAGGACAGCGGGACAGAACUGAUCUACGUAACAGCAACACAUCCUCAAAACAUCACAACGCAUCCGCAUAACGUCACAACACACGAGGGUCCGAUAUAUUCAGUGAUCAACCAUAAAUGAAAA